GGUGAACGCUGACAGAAUGCUUAACGCAUGCAAGUCGAUGGGGAAGUGGUGCUUGCCCCAUGGCAACCAUGGCGGACGGGUGAGUAACGCGUAAGGGACUUACCUGCAGGACUGGGAUAACAGGGGGAAACUCCUGACAAGACCGGAUAAUGUCAUGGAGCUGCAUGGCUUUAUGAUGAAAGGAGACGCCUGCGGAGAGCCUUGCGUCCUAUUAGCUAGUUGGUGAGGUAAUGGCUCACCAAGGCGAAGAUAGGUAGCCGGCCUGAGAGGGUGGACGGCCACAAGGGGACUGAGAUACGGCCCUUACUCCUACGGGAGGCAGCAGUGGGGAAUAUUGGACAAUGGGGGCAACCCUGAUCCAGCAAUUCUGUGUGCACGAAGAAGGUUUUCGGAUUGUAAAGUGCUUUCAGCAGGGAAGAAGUAAGUGACGGUACCUGCAGAAGAAGCGACGGCUAAAUACGUG
This 463-nucleotide ribosomal RNA is filed under the name uncultured bacterium. RNAcentral's name for it is "partial 16S ribosomal RNA". It matches the Rfam family "Bacterial small subunit ribosomal RNA", at positions 28 to 507 of the family's 1533-position model. The record is from RNAcentral.